Molecule: ribosomal RNA, 490 nt
Filed under: uncultured Sphingobacteriales bacterium
Lineage: Bacteria; Pseudomonadati; Bacteroidota; Sphingobacteriia; Sphingobacteriales
Description: bacterial SSU rRNA
Rfam family: Bacterial small subunit ribosomal RNA
Source: RNAcentral
CCCGCUCAGAAACUCAAAGGAAUUGACGGGGCCCGCACAAGCGGUGGAGCAUGUGGUUUAAUUCGAUGAUACGCGAGGAACCUUACCUGGGCUCAAAUGUAUGUUGACGUAUUCUGAAAGGGAUACUUCUUCGGACAAUAUACAAGGUGCUGCAUGGUUGUCGUCAGCUCGUGCCGUGAGGUGUCGGGUUAAGUCCCAUAACGAGCGCAACCCUAUCAUUAGUUGCCAUCAGGUCAAGCUGGGGACUCUAAUGAAACUGCCUACGCAAGUAGUGAGGAAGGUGGGGAUGACGUCAAAUCAGCACGGCCCUUACGUCCAGGGCUACACACGUGCUACAAUGGCCGGUACAAAGGGCAGCUACCUGGUGACAGGAUGCUAAUCUCAAAAGCCGGUCUCAGUUCGGAUCGGAGUCUGCAACCCGACCCCGUGAAGCUGGAAUCGCUAGUAAUCGCGCAUCAGCCAUGGCGCGGUGAAUACGUUCCCGGGCCUU